RNAcentral lists this ribosomal RNA (255 nucleotides) under uncultured bacterium. RNAcentral's name for it is "partial 16S ribosomal RNA". It matches the Rfam family "Bacterial small subunit ribosomal RNA", at positions 524 to 778 of the family's 1533-position model. The record is from RNAcentral.
UACGUAGGGUGCAAGCGUUGUCCGGAAUUAUUGGGCGUAAAGGGCUCGUAGGCGGUCCAUCACGUCGGGAGUGAAAAGCUGGGGCUUAACCCCAGUCCUGCUUCCGAUACGGGUGGACUAGAGGUAGGCAGGGGAGAACGGAAUUCCUGGUGUAGCGGUGAAAUGCGCAGAUAUCAGGAGGAACACCGGUGGCGAAGGCGGUUCUCUGGGCCUUACCUGACGCUAAAGCGCGACAGCAUGGGGAGCAAAACGGGG